This 1425-nucleotide ribosomal RNA is filed under the name Triticum aestivum (bread wheat). RNAcentral's name for it is "partial small subunit ribosomal RNA". Lineage: Eukaryota; Viridiplantae; Streptophyta; Magnoliopsida; Poales; Poaceae. The record is from RNAcentral.
CUCGCCCCCCGCGCGCAUUGGAGCGGCGGGGGAAACGAGGCGGCGCGGCAUCUCUCAAGACGAUCUAAACGCCGACGAGCUCGGUCCUUUCGGGUUCUUGUUGCGUGUGCCUCUACUCGAAUCGCGAAGAUCCCCCGAUGAGGAGGCGGCUCCUGCUGCUGGGGCGGCGGCCGCGGCCGCGGCUCGACUCGCUGAGGCCGCUGAGUAGUCGGCUUCUCCGGCCUAGACUGCCUCUGCUCUUCAGGCGAGGUAGCUUCGGCCGACGCUUCGGGGCGGGGGCGCAUUUGGGAUCGGGGCCUCUACCCCUGAGGAGCGACGGGAGCCGCGAUCUACAGAAGCGGCUCUAGAGGCCCGGGGGCCGAAAGGAGUUGGCGUCCCACCGGGUCGGGCUCCUCCAGCCCCUCCGCGAGCCGCACGAGCUAGUGGCGAGGCUGAGGUUCUCCUCUUUCGGCGGUGGAGGGCCACGCCAACACCGCCGCUUUGGUGUCUACCAACGGUAGGCACUUGCUCAAUCGUCACUGCACUUCUUACCACGGUUAGGAGGUCAACGACAACACAGCCGCUUUGGUGUCAACCAACGACCAGUACUUGCUCAAUGGUCACUGUGCUUCUUACCACGGUUAGGAGGUCCAAGUCAACUUCCUUUCUCUUUUUAUCCCCGACGUUUAGGACCAGGUCUUCUACGACGGCUCGAAGAUUCUUACACGGAGGUCACACCAUAUGGUUUCUGGAUAAGUGUGCGCGUUCCUUACCAUACGGGACAAACGUUGCUGUCUGGCCACGUCCGUUUUCUCGGCCUCUUCUUCUUCCCAAGACGACAGUUUCUGUUCCUCUUUCACUUCUCCUACUCUCCCGUCAGCAGUGUACGUAGAACCUUCUCACUUUGACUCUACCGAGACGCCGUUGUUAAGCUGACUGCCCACAGUGGCCCUCACGACCACGUGAGUCAGACAUGUGAUCCAUCUUAGCUUAGAGAAACGAACAAGGUAACGCAGCGCACCGAAGGUCUAACGGUAGCAAAACAAAGAACAUAAACGUCGAGAGACUGUACGUGCCUAAUUCAAAGCGUUCGACAUAUGCAAUUUUACAAAAGGUCGGGUCGGUACAAAGCUCAUUCAAUGAGUCCCGGGGAAACGAAGUCCCUGUAAAAGGACACGGGUAGUCAUUGACCUACUGGAUACUCUAAGGGUACUCUAAAAACGCAUAGUAUCUUCUUAGGGACUUAUGACUUGACCAACACGAAGGACGACAAUAAACGUAACCACUGUACCUUUAGAAUCGGGUACCAGGCUUUAAGCGAAACGUAAGAACGAUUAGUAUCUUCGGAGGUCACACCUCCGUUAAUACAGAUCAUUACACCGCCGUACACCGUAUUGUACCGGUUGUACCCUCGUUGGGUGCCUCUACUUGUCUAGGUCAGGACGG